ACACACACACACGCACGCACGCACGCACGCACGCACGCACGCACGCACGCACGCACUGAGAUGUGCCAGGUCAAUCACGUGACACAGACCCUCGAGGGGUCAAGGUUGCUGAUUGGCCCUAGAGUAGCCUCCUUUGGAACUGUGCCUGCUGGUUCUCAUGUUGCUAGGGGAAGACUGACUCAAUGACUCCACACUUCUGGUUUAGCAUCAGGAAGACGUUGGAAAUGGUUCACAGGCCAGGAAAACCUUUUCCCGGGCUCAGGGCUCUGUUAAAAAAAAAAAAAAAAUCCAGAGCUUGGGGAGGCAGGGUGUUAGGAAAAUCAAUGCUUCUGCAGUGUGUGCUGACCAUUGAUUUUGGCAACCAAUUUGGCGACCAAUGGCCCUGCAGGACCAGAAAGCAAAAUACAUGGCACCCAGAGCUGUUUUCGGCUUCCUCUCUGUCUCCAAGACGAAGGAGAGGCUAUGAGUCUCCGAUCGUGGUCCUGGGGGCGGAGGGAAGAAGAAACCAACCCCACGCAUGACUUUCUCUCUUCCUAUUUCCUGAUCACCAUCCGCGGGCUGAGGGUCUCUGCGCAAAUCCCAGGCAGUUCAGAACUGGGAGCCGUGAGUUACAUAAGGUAAUAUUAAGGCUGUAAAUCUUCCCAGUAGCAGAACCCAUAAACCCUAGUUUUUAUUAUCCACUUACUGCACAGACCCUGGCUGUUCCUUCAUCGUAGCACAAUUAUCCUACAAUUACUGUUAGAUUGUUAAGUAAAUAGCGUGCCAGAAGCGGCAAUUCCCGGGCUCAUAAAUAUAUAAGCAAACACCGGAGCGAGGCCCUGGAGCCAUGGGAAGGAGGCGGGAUAGGGUGCUGGAUGCUGGAAUGUGUGAUAUUCUCCUUCUGCAGAUGGGUCCUUGGCAGUCACCCCCACACCCCCCGCAGGGCCCAGGGAGCUGUGGGCGACAGGACAGAGGAUCUAACACAGGCCAGCUGUGCAGUCACAAACCGAGAGCGCUCCCCCUGGGCAUGGGGACUGGGGAGGCAGGCGUAGCCUCCCUGGGCUUCAUCCUCCCUUCCGGAAGUAUCCGGUGGCUCCAGUAUGAGCAAGUAUCACAGGUGUGAGGUGAGGAGAAGGAAGCGCGCUCUCCUGGGUUUCUCGAAAUGAGAACGUUCUCCUUGUCUUUCUCCAUAACAAUUCUAAACCAGGAGCUCCAAGUUCCUGAGGGCAGAGGCAUAACAACGCAGUCACACUGUGGGAACCGUUCCGUCAUGAGCGUCUUGCAAGGCUGCACCUGAAGUUGCAGAAAUGGGCAAUGGAGCCAGAUUCCUGCCCCUCUGCCAGGUGCAACUUAAGGAUUCAGUUCCUCUUCUUCGAGUUUUGCAGUCCAUGGUUACAGGCAUCAUGGACCUCCGGUGUUCCAGUCAGUGUUCUGGGGAAUUCUAGAACUCCCCAGAAACAAAUUGGGUGACUGCCUCUGCAUCAGAAGAGGGAGCUUCUGGGACUGCUGGCUGCAUUCUGAAUCUUUCUUUGUUUCUAACUUGUUUAUUCUUGAGAAUUUUA
This is a non-coding RNA of Rattus norvegicus (Norway rat), 1541 nucleotides long. NCBI's taxonomy places the organism in Eukaryota, Metazoa, Chordata, Mammalia, Rodentia, Muridae. The record is from RefSeq and is a predicted model, not a curated record.